Molecule: transfer RNA, 71 nt
Filed under: Terapon jarbua (Jarbua terapon)
Lineage: Eukaryota; Metazoa; Chordata; Actinopteri; Centrarchiformes; Terapontidae
Description: tRNA-Gln
Rfam family: tRNA
About the family: Transfer RNA (tRNA) molecules are approximately 80 nucleotides in length.
Source: RNAcentral
UAGGAAGUGGUGUAGUGGAAGCACGGAGAGUUUUGAACUCUUUAGGAAGGGUUCGACCCCCUUCUUUCUAG